RNAcentral lists this ribosomal RNA (253 nucleotides) under uncultured bacterium. Its description in RNAcentral is "partial 16S ribosomal RNA". It matches the Rfam family "Bacterial small subunit ribosomal RNA", at positions 524 to 776 of the family's 1533-position model. The record is from RNAcentral.
UACAGAGGGUGCGAGCGUUGUCCGGAAUCACUGGGCGUAAAGGGCGUGUAGGCGGCUGGGUAAGCCGCGUGUGAAAUCCCGGGGCUCAACCCCGGAACGGCACGCGGGACUGUCCGGCUAGAGAAUGGUAGAGGCGAGUGGAAUUCCUGGUGUAGCGGUGGAAUGCGUAGAGAUCAGGAAGAACACCGGUGGCGAAGGCGGCUCGCUGGGCCAUUUCUGACGCUGAGGCACGAAAGCGUGGGGAGCAAACAGG